This is a long non-coding RNA of Austrofundulus limnaeus, 1229 nucleotides long. RefSeq lists it as uncharacterized. Lineage: Eukaryota; Metazoa; Chordata; Actinopteri; Cyprinodontiformes; Rivulidae. The record is from RefSeq and is a predicted model, not a curated record. The transcript is spliced from 2 exons.
CUUUAUAUUCUGUUUUCUGUCCUCAGUCUGGUGUCAGAGCAUUUGUUUGUUCUGUGAAUUGUCUCCAUAGCCUAUGUUUGUAACUGUCCAAGCUCCAGGAUAUUUUUGUAAGUACCUUUUUGCUGCCAUGCCAGCCUUUUGUUGUUGUUAAGCCUUUUUUAUUAACAACUCUUCAAGUCCAUCAGUCCUUCAGUCUGCACCUGGGGUUCAGUCCUUUCAAGCCUUACAGACUCACUCUUCUCAAAAACACACAAAAGAGUACGGAAGACUAACUACAAUAAGCCACAGUGGUACAAUGAAUCGACAGAGGAGGGACGACAGGACACAGCCAAUAAUGGGCGGGAGCAGCGGUUAGGUCCCCCCACAGGAGCACCUGCGGCAAAAGGCUUUUUGCCCCCCGUUUCUGAGUCUGUAGUCUCUGCUGAUGAUGGUUCUGGCGAAUGGAACCUGGAUCCGUUGUAGUAUACACUGUGACUCCUCGCUGCUAAGGCUGCGAAACCCUGAAGAGCCAACAGUGGCAGCUGUACUGCUUUGCACAGGAGGCAAUCGAAUGUCUCAACUGGCUUCUUCCUCGUGUCACUAGCUUGCUGCAUGGCUGUGACUGCCUCUCCAAACAGCCCCUUAGUCCUCAACGGGUCGAAUGGGGGAAUGGUCUGUUCUGUCAAGCUGGACAGGUUCAGCCAGAAUGAUCUCUCUCCUGCCGCUGCUAAACCCAUAACACAGCCACAGCCCUGCACCACACCUCUGGAGACCCGGAAGAUAAGAUUUGCCACAACGCAGAUCUCUUCCCAAACUGCUGGACUCAGGUGCCCAAAUGUACCUCAACCAUAUUGUGAUACAGUUCUGCUUGGUAGGCUGAAAGGAGUGUGAUCACGUUUACAAUUGCUAUGGGCUGACCUGCAGAUCUGUACACCUUCUGGUAUAUAGAGGCACUCCUUUUUUUUUCCCCCAGGAGCACAGGUCCUGCAACUAAAAGAGUGAAGCAGCAGUUGGGAUGGAGGUGAAAAUUGACUGACUGCCCAUUAGCUAUUUCUAGCCCCGAGUAACCCGUGACAGGUUUUCACACAAUCACCUCAUCUCCUUCAUGCACGUAGGAACAGCUUUGCAAGUUUUUUUCCAUCAUAUAAAUCUCUGUUUUUAUGCUUGUCAUCUUGCAAUACAAUCCUCAUUCUCAAAGGCAUAAAACAUAAUUUGAAAUUGCUUUAAAUUGGCAUUUAAAAACCAUUAAA